GACGAACGCUGGCGGCGUGCCUAAUACAUGCAAGUAGAACGCUGAAGAGAGGAGCUUACUCUUCUUGGAUGAGUUGCGAACGGGUGAGUAACGCGUAGGUAACCUGCCUUGUAGCGGGGGAUAACUAUUGGAAACGAUAGCUAAUACCGCAUAACAAUGGAUGACACAUGUCAUUUAUUUGAAAGGGGCAAUUGCUCCACUACAAGAUGGACCUGCGUUGUAUUAGCUAGUAGGUGAGGUAAUGGCUCACCUAGGCGGCGAUACAUAGCCGACCUGAGAGGGUGAUCGGCCACACUGGGACUGAGACACGGCCCAGACUCCUACGGGAGGCAGCAGUAGGGAAUCUUCGGCAAUGGGGGCAACCCUGACCGAGCAACGCCGCGUGAGUGAAGAAGGUUUUCGGAUCGUAAAGCUCUGUUGUAAGUCAAGAACGGGUGUGAGAGUGGAAAGUUCACACUGUGACGGUAGCUUACCAGAAAGGGACGGCUAACUACGUG
RNAcentral lists this ribosomal RNA (497 nucleotides) under uncultured bacterium. RNAcentral's name for it is "partial 16S ribosomal RNA". It matches the Rfam family "Bacterial small subunit ribosomal RNA", at positions 28 to 507 of the family's 1533-position model. The record is from RNAcentral.